CCCGAGCUCCGGGCACGCGAGCGGCGGCGAUCGAGGGCGUCCGUGGCGCCAGGGAGAGCGACGAGGACGACUCAAUGGACGUCGACGUUUCCGACGGGGACUGUUUCCGGGAAUCUCUCAUGACGACACAGAGGAGCUACGAAACCACUCUUCUCACAAAUAUUUUUCCUGCAAAAGCCAGGGAGUAAAAUGAAUCAAACACCGAUUCAGUAAACAGAAAACAUGCUGCAUUAUGUUCUUCGCUGUACAAGAUUAACUGAACGAAAUGGCAGUGUGUGUGCUCAUGCGCUCGCGCCUGCGAUGUCAAAUCUAGAUACGGUAGUGGAUGUGGUUUCCUUAUUAACUUGUUGUGGGCGUGGCAGCGACAAAAACAACAGGUUGUCCGAGGAAAUCAAACAGUGGCAUGAUAUUCAAGAUCUGAUCAAAUGAGUCCCUGAUCUAAGCAUCGCCUUCAACAAAAUGUCUCCCAGGAGAAAAGCGAUAAAGAGGUGAGCGCUGGCAAUCCCCAAGACAAGGCAUCAGGCGAGUCCCAAAGUGCGUGCCAAUCCACACUGCGCUUGUAUGAAAAUCCUCGGGCAGUAUGAUAGCCUCCAAGUCUGCUUGAAUCAAAUGCAGUGACUUGCAAA
Long non-coding RNA from Penaeus monodon (black tiger shrimp), 626 nucleotides. RefSeq lists it as uncharacterized. The transcript has 5 exons. NCBI's taxonomy places the organism in Eukaryota, Metazoa, Arthropoda, Malacostraca, Decapoda, Penaeidae. The record is from RefSeq and is a predicted model, not a curated record.